This 725-nucleotide ribosomal RNA is filed under the name uncultured Bacilli bacterium. RNAcentral's name for it is "bacterial SSU rRNA". It matches the Rfam family "Bacterial small subunit ribosomal RNA", at positions 74 to 776 of the family's 1533-position model. The record is from RNAcentral. Lineage: Bacteria; Bacillati; Bacillota; Bacilli.
UUUACUUCGGUAAUGACGUUAGGAAAGCGAGCGGCGGAUGGGUGAGUAACACGUGGGGAACCUGCCCCAUAGUCUGGGAUACCACUUGGAAACAGGUGCUAAUACCGGAUAAGAAAGCAGAUCGCAUGAUCAGCUUUUAAAAGGCGGCGUAAGCUGUCGCUAUGGGAUGGCCCCGCGGUGCAUUAGCUAGUUGGUAAGGUAAAGGCUUACCAAGGCGAUGAUGCAUAGCCGAGUUGAGAGACUGAUCGGCCACAUUGGGACUGAGACACGGCCCAAACUCCUACGGGAGGCAGCAGUAGGGAAUCUUCCACAAUGGACGCAAGUCUGAUGGAGCAACGCCGCGUGAGUGAAGAAGGUUUUCGGAUCGUAAAGCUCUGUUGUUGGUGAAGAAGGAUAGAGGUAGUAACUGGCCUUUAUUUGACGGUAAUCAACCAGAAAGUCACGGCUAACUACGUGCCAGCAGCCGCGGUAAUACGUAGGUGGCAAGCGUUGUCCGGAUUUAUUGGGCGUAAAGCGAGCGCAGGCGGAAGAAUAAGUCUGAUGUGAAAGCCCUCGGCUUAACCGAGGAACUGCAUCGGAAACUGUUUUUCUUGAGUGCAGAAGAGGAGAGUGGAACUCCAUGUGUAGCGGUGGAAUGCGUAGAUAUAUGGAAGAACACCAGUGGCGAAGGCGGCUCUCUGGUCUGCAACUGACGCUGAGGCUCGAAAGCAUGGGUAGCGAACAGG